Molecule: long non-coding RNA, 1527 nt
Organism: Leopardus geoffroyi (Geoffroy's cat)
Lineage: Eukaryota; Metazoa; Chordata; Mammalia; Carnivora; Felidae
Exons: 2
Source: RefSeq, a predicted model, not a curated record
GCGAGGCCGUCGGGACUUCAGAAUCAGCGUGGCCCGGCCACUGUGAGGGUGUGCGCGCCGCUGGUCUCAGAGGCCGUGGGGUGAGAUGCCAGACGGCGCUCGGCGAGACAGAGGUUUCCCGGAAUCGUAUUUGGGGGCUCGUAAGACUUUUCUCCCCUAAGAGGGCCUGAGGGGAGGCCGGUGGGACACAAACUAGGCCUCGCCCUCCCUUUCUAAUCCCCGCCCACGUCACCCUACCCCGCCAGUCUUCGAGGCCCCCUCUGCACCUUCUUCCCCACCCCGCCCUGUUUUCCUUCUCGUCCUCCCCCACCCCCCCUCCCAUCUUUUCUCUCUGCCUCUCCCUUCUCUUCUGCCCACUCUCCCCUCUGGGACCCUCUCCUCUCCCACCGUCUUCCCUCUUUCUUCCCCUUUGCUUGCUUGCUCUCUCACUCCCCUCUCCGGCAUCUACCCUUCCCUCCCCGCCACCACUCUCUACGUGGGUCUGUUGGAUUGCCCAUCACCUCUUAAUCGUUUCUUAGUUUGUAUGGAAAUAAACAAUCUCCGGAUAUGAGGUUAAUUUCAUCUUUUUUAGCAUAAUCCAGUUUCUGGUAUACAAGGGGGCGCAGCCUAAGUAUCAAACUCAUAAAAAAAGAGCGUGAUCCCCACGCUCAGGGUUUUUAGGGGAGUAGGACAAGACCACCGGUUCUUUUGAUCUCUGACCCGGCCACUGCCUAGGCUCUGGAGCCCCAAAGGGCCAUGGUGAUUGUUGUGAGUGGCACGCGGGGUGGUGAGCACCUGGGGGCAGGGAUGGAGGCUCGUGGCCCUGGCGGAGCCCCGAAGCUGUGGCCCCAAAGCUGGCGCCCUAAGGUGAGGCCCUCCCAGCUCCUCACAGACUCUUCCAGACCAGUUCCUGGAAGUUGUCUCGAGCCAGCCACGGAGCAGCAGGGCACGCCUCCAGGUUACUCGGUUCUGUUUUGCCCGCGGACUCAGCCCUGGCUUUCCCUCUGCGUCAACUCAUUCUUUGGAGAAAGGCCAGAAAAAAACAAUGGCUCUGUCCAGCCCGAGGUUCAUGGUGUCCGAGAGCCUGGAUUCCCUUGGCAAUCUUUCGUACUCUCCCAGGGGCAAAUUACCCAGAGCCCUGAGCCCACGCCCACGUGGUUUCUUUCUUUUUGCCGUUAGUGUGUUGACCUUACCUGUUUUUAAAAAAUUAUGUGUAAUAUACAUUGUGUAUAACAAAUAUAUUCUUAACAGAAAUGUAUUAGCAGUGGGCACAAGUGAAAAGAGUCUUCCAGGAAAAACAGAUAGCCAAGACUAGAACUGGGGGGACUUAGGGCCACAAUACAACUCAUGCUUCUAUUGGAGAAGGAAAGUUGGGAAACAGCUACAUCAAAAAGAAGAAAACAUUCAGAGAAGUCUUUAAAAAGUGGGGAAAGAGAAAGAAAGUGAAGAGAUCAAUUAAUGUAACUUUUAAAAAAAUGUACCCAAUUUCCCCAAUGAAAAUAAAACUAAACAGGGUCUUUGGGACCUCAGCUUCUGGUUCACGUUUAC